AAGAAUAGUGAGAAAUCACAUGUGUGGAGGACUUUGAUUUGCUUGGAACAAAGGGACUAGCUCAUCAGAUCCAAGUCGGGGAAAACACAUAAAGACUUAGGAUUUACAGAUUUCUAGUUGCACAUGGUCAGGGGUGGAACUACGUUACUGUUGAAGGGGCACAACUUCCUCACCUAUUUUAUACAUAUGAGAUAGAAAGGAAUUGAAUUCCCAGAAGCUAAAACAGGGGAGACUAAAGACCAUUGUCUUCUCUCAUCUCAUUAGCGGUGUGUGAAGGA
Molecule: long non-coding RNA, 278 nt
Organism: Prosopis cineraria
Lineage: Eukaryota; Viridiplantae; Streptophyta; Magnoliopsida; Fabales; Fabaceae
Exons: 3
Source: RefSeq, a predicted model, not a curated record